AUCCUGCCGACGAGUCCCAAAUUGGACGAAAUGCGCGUCAAACUGGAU
Molecule: non-coding RNA, 48 nt
Organism: Schistosoma haematobium
Lineage: Eukaryota; Metazoa; Platyhelminthes; Trematoda; Strigeidida; Schistosomatidae
Source: Rfam